RNAcentral lists this ribosomal RNA (477 nucleotides) under uncultured bacterium. RNAcentral describes it as "partial 16S ribosomal RNA". It matches the Rfam family "Bacterial small subunit ribosomal RNA", at positions 30 to 507 of the family's 1533-position model. The record is from RNAcentral.
AUUGAACGCUGGCGGCAUGCCUUACACAUGCAAGUCGAACGGUAACAGGUUAAGCUGACGUGUGGCGAACGGGUGAGUAAUGUAUCGGAACGUGCCCAGUCGUGGGGGAUAACUGCUCGAAAGAGCAGCUAAUACCGCAUACGACCUGAGGGUGAAAGCGGGGGAUCGCAAGCCCUCGCGCGAUUGGAGCGGCCGAUAUCAGAUUAGGUAGUUGGUGAGGUAAAGGCUCACCAAGCCGACGAUCUGUAGCUGGUCUGAGAGGACGACCAGCCACACUGGGACUGAGACACGGCCCAGACUCCUACGGGAGGCAGCAGUGGGGAAUUUUGGACAAUGGGCGCAAGCCUGAUCCAGCCAUGACGCGUGCGAGAAGACGGCCUUCGGGUUGUAAACCGCUUUUGUCAGGGAAGAAAAGGUUCUGACUAAUACCUGGAACUCAUGACGGUACCUGAAGAAUAAGCACCGGCUAACUACGUG